Long non-coding RNA from Osmia lignaria (orchard mason bee), 776 nucleotides. RefSeq lists it as uncharacterized. The record is from RefSeq and is a predicted model, not a curated record. NCBI's taxonomy places the organism in Eukaryota, Metazoa, Arthropoda, Insecta, Hymenoptera, Megachilidae.
UUUAACAUAUGUUGCCAAGGUCACCCUCCUGAGUGACCUUCAGAAGAUUCUAACCGUCGCUCAUUUUUUAUUCAAAAGUUAUUAACCAAAAAAUAUUUGUAAAAAUUAUGAUGAAAAUGUCCAUUCAAAUUCAAUUAAAAGUGAAUGUUAUUGAUGUAUUAGGUUAGGUUAGGUUAGGUGAUAUAAAUCACCCUCGAGAUGGGGCGCAAAUGCGCCAAGGGUGAGUGGGGGGUCCCAGGGCCCUUCCUCAAGCCCAGUGCAGGCCAUCGUGGGGGUUUUAGCAGGAAAGCGUUGCAGGCCGCCAGACGGCUAAAACCUUCUGAAGGUUACUUAGAAGGGUAACCUUGACAACAUAUGUCAAGGUCAAGGUCAUCGGAGGGUGGUCCGUAUUACUAAAUAAUUACCAAAUUCUGAUACGUACUUGUCGUGAUCAGCAGUAUUAACACCGUCAUUGAGGUGAAAUCCAAACAGGCUUCCAUGCCAUGUUUGAGAUAAGUUACUAAAUUCAAUGGUACGAGACCCAGAAUUGUGAUUCUAGUUAACAGUGGUGCGUGUACGAAUGCAGCAACUACCAUGGCAAGCAAUAAAUAAACGAUAUGCAAUCCUAUGCGAUACAUUCUCUGCAUCUGUUCUCCUAUAAACAUUCAUAUGGAAUAGAAAUCAAUGGUACUCCAUCUGCCACUAAAACUGUAGUAUCAUCCGUAUCUCUUCUCCAGAACCAUUCAAGUACUGAAGCUCUUCCAUCUCGACAACUCAGUGUCACAACAAGAAGCGUG